GACGAACCGUCCUAACGUUGUUCGGAAUCACUGGGCUUAAAGGACGCGUAGGCGGGUCAGCAAGUCCGGGGUGAAAUCUUUCGGCUCAACCGGAAAAGUGCCUUGGAGACUGCUGGUCUAGAGGGAGGUAGGGGCAUGUGGAACUUCCGGUGGAGCGGUGAAAUGCGUUGAUAUCGGAAGGAACGCCGGUGGCGAAAGCGACGUACUGGAUCUCUUCUGACGCUGAGGCGCGAAAGCCAGGGGAGCAAACGGG
Molecule: ribosomal RNA, 253 nt
Filed under: uncultured bacterium
Lineage: Bacteria
Description: partial 16S ribosomal RNA
Rfam family: Bacterial small subunit ribosomal RNA
Source: RNAcentral